RNAcentral lists this ribosomal RNA (519 nucleotides) under Trichoderma harzianum. Its description in RNAcentral is "eukaryotic LSU rRNA". The stretch from base 208 to 361 matches the Rfam family "5.8S ribosomal RNA". Lineage: Eukaryota; Fungi; Ascomycota; Sordariomycetes; Hypocreales; Hypocreaceae. The record is from RNAcentral.
UCAUUACCGAGUUUACAACUCCCAAACCCAAUGUGAACGUUACCAAACUGUUGCCUCGGCGGGAUCUCUGCCCCGGGUGCGUCGCAGCCCCGGACCAAGGCGCCCGCCGGAGGACCAACCAAAACUCUUAUUGUAUACCCCCUCGCGGGUUUUUUUAUAAUCUGAGCCUUCUCGGCGCCUCUCGUAGGCGUUUCGAAAAUGAAUCAAAACUUUCAACAACGGAUCUCUUGGUUCUGGCAUCGAUGAAGAACGCAGCGAAAUGCGAUAAGUAAUGUGAAUUGCAGAAUUCAGUGAAUCAUCGAAUCUUUGAACGCACAUUGCGCCCGCCAGUAUUCUGGCGGGCAUGCCUGUCCGAGCGUCAUUUCAACCCUCGAACCCCUCCGGGGGGUCGGCGUUGGGGAUCGGCCCUCCCUUAGCGGGGUGGCCGUCUCCGAAAUACAGUGGCGGUCUCGCCGCAGCCUCUCCUGCGCAGUAGUUUGCACACUCGCAUCGGGAGCGCGGCGCGUCCACAGCCGUUAA